UGUGAUGGGGAGCGAAAUUUAGUAGCGAAGUAGCUGAUUUCACACUGUCAAGAAAAGUCUCUAUCGAGGUUAAAGGUACCCGUACCGCAAACCGACACAGGUGGGUGAGGAGAGUAUCCUAAGGCCAGCGAGAGAACUGUUGUUAAGGAACUCGGCAAAAUGACCCCGUAACUUAGGGAUAAGGGGUGCCACCAUCAGGUGGCCGCAGAGAAUAGGCCCAAGCGACUGUUUACCAAAAACAUAGGUUUCUGCUAAGUCGCAAGACGAUGUAUAGGAGCUGACGCCUGCCCGGUGCUGGAAGGUUAAGGGGAUCUGUUAGAGCAAUCGAAGCAGUGAACUUAAGCCCCAGUAAACGGCGGCCGUAACUAUAACGGUCCUAAGGUAGCGAAAUUCCUUGUCGGGUAAGUUCCGACCCGCACGAAAGGCGUAACGAUUUGGGCACUGUCUCAACAACAGACUCGGUGAAAUUGUAAUUCCGGUGAAGAUGCCGGAUACCUGCGACAGGACGGAAAGACCCCAUGGAGCUUUACUGUAGCUUGACAUUGGGUCUUGGUACUACAUGUACAGGAUAGGUGGGAGGCUUUGAAACCAGGACG
RNAcentral lists this ribosomal RNA (596 nucleotides) under Clostridioides difficile. Its description in RNAcentral is "partial 23S ribosomal RNA". It matches the Rfam family "Bacterial large subunit ribosomal RNA", at positions 1562 to 2170 of the family's 2925-position model. Lineage: Bacteria; Bacillati; Bacillota; Clostridia; Peptostreptococcales; Peptostreptococcaceae. The record is from RNAcentral.